UACAGAGGGGGCAAGCGUUAUUCGGAAUUAUUGGGCGUAAAGGGCGCGUAGGCGGCCUUGCAAGUGACGGGUGAAAUCCCUCGGCUUAACCGAGGAACUGCCUGUCAAACUGCAUGGCUUGAGACCGGGAGAGGUGAGUGGAAUUCCCAGUGUAGCGGUGAAAUGCGUAGAUAUUGGGAGGAACACCAGUGGCGAAGGCGGCUCACUGGACCGGUACUGACGCUGAGGCGCGAAAGCGUGGGGAGCGAACAGG
Molecule: ribosomal RNA, 253 nt
Filed under: uncultured bacterium
Lineage: Bacteria
Description: partial 16S ribosomal RNA
Rfam family: Bacterial small subunit ribosomal RNA
Source: RNAcentral